GACGAACGCUGGCGGCGUGCCUAAUACAUGCAAGUUGAGCGCUGAAGGUUGGUACUUGUACCAACUGGAUGAGCAGCGAACGGGUGAGUAACGCGUGGGGAAUCUGCCUUUGAGCGGGGGACAACAUCUGGAAACGAAUGCUAAUACCGCAUAAAAACUUUAAACACAAGUUUUAAGUUUGAAAGAUGCAAUUGCAUCACUCAAAGAUGAUCCCGCGUUGUAUUAGCUAGUUGGUGAGGUAAAGGCUCACCAAGGCGAUGAUACAUAGCCGACCUGAGAGGGUGAUCGGCCACAUUGGGACUGAGACACGGCCCAAACUCCUACGGGAGGCAGCAGUAGGGAACCUUCGGCAAUGGACGAAAGGCUGACCGAGCAACGCCGCGUGAGUGAAGAAGGUUUUCGGAUCGUAAAACUCUGUUGGUAGAGAAGAACGUUGGUGAGAGUGGAAAGCGCAUCAAGUGACGGUAACUACCCAGAAAGGGACGGCUAACUACGUG
This 497-nucleotide ribosomal RNA is filed under the name uncultured bacterium. RNAcentral describes it as "partial 16S ribosomal RNA". It matches the Rfam family "Bacterial small subunit ribosomal RNA", at positions 28 to 507 of the family's 1533-position model. The record is from RNAcentral.